UACAGCCAUAUCACAUUGAAACACUGGUUCUCAUACAAUCACUGAAGUUAAGCCUGGUCAGUACCUGGAUGGGUGACCAAUUAAGAAUACCAGGUGCUGUAAG
Acanthosepion pharaonis is the source of this 103-nucleotide non-coding RNA. NCBI's taxonomy places the organism in Eukaryota, Metazoa, Mollusca, Cephalopoda, Sepiida, Sepiidae. The record is from the annotation of a GenBank genome assembly.